GAACUCGUCCUAGACGGUUAGUCCGAUUGCCACGAAAAUUGGCUCAGAUCAUCUUCAGACCAUGCUGGCAAAAAGUUAUGGAAUUCAAGUUGAUUCGUCCAACUGUUGUCGAAUGACACGUAAACAAAUUUGACGAAAAGCACGCAAACAUGCACGUGAGGCUAUAUCCCGGCAACGGUUUGUCAUAUUGAGACCAAACUUGGCGUGUGUUAUAACAAGCAUGACCUGAGACUACCUGCAGUGUUUCGACACAGCGCCACCUAGUGGUCAGGAGAUAUGAAAAAUGCAUAUUUUGGCUUAUAACUACUGAAUGGUUUGGCCAAAAAUCACACAACUGGUCUCUUUAGAUUCAGUGAGUCAUGUCGAGUCAAAUGAUAUCCAAUUUUCCUGUGUCGGCCAUUUUAGGCGUCGGCCAUUUUGAAUUAUGAUUUAAAAUGCUGUAUUUUUUGAACGCAGCAUCGUAUCGUUUCGCAAAUAAUUACAAAAAUAUUCGGCUCCAUGCCCUGAAGGUACUCAAAAAGUUUGGUGGCAGCGCCACCUUGUGGCCAAUAGUUAUAAUGAAAUAUCACAUAAAUGCUAAUAACUUUUGAAUAAAUUAGUCUAUUAAAAUUAAAAUGAUCUCGCUAUAUUCUGUGGGUCAUGCCGAGAGUAUUGAUACCAAUAAUGUGAAAAUUGGCCUUACUUCCUGUCCGCCAUUUUGCUUAAUGUUGAAAACCUACUUUUUCGAACUCCUCCUAGACCGUUAGCCCAAUUUUCACCAAAUUUGACGUGCAUCAUCUUCAGACCAUGCUGGCAAAAAGUUAUGGAUUUUGUGUCGAUAUACGUAACGGUUCUCAUUUAGCGCAUCAACGAAUUUGCUGGAAGGGUGCCAAAAUGCAUUUGAGGCUGUAUCUCUGCAACACUUUGACAUAUUUGCACCAAACUUUGUAUGUGUCAUCGCCACCUCACACUGACCAUGCCACAUAAAUUUGGUAACAGCGCCACCUAUUGGUCAAGAGUAAUAAACCAUUCAUUAACCAUGAGUAAUUACACUUUUUAAAAUGCUAAUAACUUUUUAAUGCAUUAGCCUAUUUGAAGGAAACUGGGCUCAAAAUAUUCCCUGGCUUAUGCCGAUAACAUAGAUACCAAAUAUACCACGGUAAGCUGAACUUCCGGUCCGCCAUUUUGAUUUAUGUUGAAAACAUACUUUUUCGAACUCCUGAUCAACCGUAUGUCCGAUUUUCAUCAAAUUCGAAUCAAAUGAUCUUCAGGCUAUACUGAUUCAAAGUUAUGGAUUUUGAGUCGAUAGACAAAACCGUUUUCGCAUACCACAUCGACGAAUUUGAGGCACAAUGAGAAAAUGACACUUGAGGCUGUAUCCCUGGAAUGCUUUGGCAUAUUGACACCAAACUUUGUGUGUGUCAUUGAAAAGACACACAGAGUACACCAAAUUGAUUUUAUAACAGUGUCACCUAUUGGUCAAGCUUGAUAAACCAAGUAAUCAUGCUACUAGAGGUGGUAUUGGUGUUUUUUUUUUUUUGCCAUUUCAAAUACAAUAAUUCCAAAAUUGCUGUUAUUGCUCAUUAAUGUAUUUGGUGUGAUGCUUUAUGCGAUGCUUAGCUACUACAUUUGCCGUUGGAGUGCUUGGCCCCGUAAUUGCUGCUUGCAGCUAUAUUUAGGGGCCAAGCACCGAAGGUGCGAAGGCACCUAUUGUGUUUGUUGGCGUUAUUAGGGGCCAAGCACCGAAGGUGCGUAGGCACCUAUUGUAAUCGUUGGCGUUAUUAUUAUUCUUCUUCUUCUUCUUCUUCUUCUUCUUCCGCCGCAAGUCUAUGGCAGCCCAUAGAACCGAUUGCGGGAAAGUUGUAUAAUUUGGCACACUGAUAGAGGACAGUCCCAACAUUAACUAUAGCAAAUUUGAAGUCUCUAUCUCCUACUCUCUAGCGCCACCACUUGUCCAAACUUUCAAUGUUUGUAUGCUAAUAACUUUUGAACCGUAAGCCAGAAAAUGGAAAUUCUUUUUUCCUCUGAAUCCUUGGCUCAUGCCAAGUCGAAUGAACCCCAAAAUUCAAAAAUCGCAAGGUUUAGUUUUUUCGCUAUUUUCAAUUUUUCGAAAAACCUACUUUUUCGAACUCGUGCUAGACGGUUAGUCCGAUUGCCACGAAAAUUGGCUCAGAUCAUCUUCAGACCAUGCUGGCAAAAAGUUAUGGAAUUCAAGUUGAUUCGUCCAACCAUUGUCGAAUGACACGUAAACAAAUUUGACGAAAAGCACGCAAAAAUGCACUUGAGGCUAUAUCUCAGCAACGGUUUGGCAUAUUGAGACCAAACUUGGUGUGUGUUAUAAUAAGCAUGACCUGAGACUACCUGCAGUGUUUCGACACAGCGCCACCUAGUGGUCAGGAGAUAUGAAAAAUGCAUAUUUUGGCUUAUAUCUUCUGAAUGGUUUGGCCAAAAAUCACACAACUGGUCUCUUUAGAUUCAGUGAGUCAUGUCGAGUCGUAUGAUAUGCAAAUUUCCCAUGUCAGCCAUUUUAGGCGUCGGCCAUUUUGAAUUAUGUUUUAAAAUGCUGUAUUUUUUCAACGCAGCAUCGUAUCGUUUCGCAAAUAAUUACAAAAAUAUUCGGCUCCAUGCCCUGUAUGUACUCAAAAAGCUUGGUGGCAGCGCCACCUUGUGGUCAAGAGUUAUAAUGAAUUAUCACAAAAAUGCU
Carassius gibelio (silver crucian carp) is the source of this 2683-nucleotide long non-coding RNA. RefSeq lists it as uncharacterized. The record is from RefSeq and is a predicted model, not a curated record. Lineage: Eukaryota; Metazoa; Chordata; Actinopteri; Cypriniformes; Cyprinidae. The transcript is spliced from 3 exons.